GGCCCCGAGGUGUAAACACGUAGGAUUGCAAAUCCUAAGACGCAGAUGAGACCUGCCGGGGCCU
This 64-nucleotide transfer RNA is filed under the name Odorrana schmackeri (piebald odorous frog). RNAcentral's name for it is "tRNA-Cys". It matches the Rfam family "tRNA". From Rfam's summary of the family: Transfer RNA (tRNA) molecules are approximately 80 nucleotides in length. Their secondary structure includes four short double-helical elements and three loops (D, anti-codon, and T loops). The record is from RNAcentral. Lineage: Eukaryota; Metazoa; Chordata; Amphibia; Anura; Ranidae.